AUACUCCCUUUGCCAGCACAUACACUAAAAUUGGGGCAAUAUAGAGAAAAUUACCAUGGCUCCUAUGCAAGGAUGACACAAAAAUGCAUAAUAAAGGGUUCCAUAUUUUU
This 110-nucleotide small nuclear RNA is filed under the name Neotoma lepida (desert woodrat). Lineage: Eukaryota; Metazoa; Chordata; Mammalia; Rodentia; Cricetidae. The record is from RNAcentral.